Molecule: ribosomal RNA, 519 nt
Filed under: uncultured eukaryote
Lineage: Eukaryota
Description: SSU rRNA
Rfam family: Eukaryotic small subunit ribosomal RNA
Source: RNAcentral
AGGGCACCACCAGGAGUGGAGCCUGCGGCUUAAUUUGACUCAACACGGGAAAUCUCACCAGGCCCGGACACUGGAAGGAUUGACAGAUUGAGAGCUCUUUCUUGAUUCAGUGGGUGGUGGUGCAUGGCCGUUCUUAGUUGGUGGAGCGAUUUGUCUGGUUAAUUCCGGUAACGAACGAGACUCUGGCCUACUAACUAGACGUUAGAUCCUUUAUGGGUUUGACGAUGCUUCUUAGAGGGACGGGCGGCUUUUAGCCGCACGAGAAUGAGCAAUAACAGGUCUGUGAUGCCCUUAGAUGUUCUGGGCUGCACGCGCGCUACACUGAAGAAAUCAGCGUGUGUUCCCUAUCCGAAAGGUUUGGGAAACCCGUUGAACCUUCUUCGUGAUGGGGAUUGGGGAUUGUAAUUAUUCCCCAUGAACGAGGAAUUCCCAGUAGGCGCGAGUCAUAAGCUUGCGUCGAUUACGUCCCUGCCCUUUGUACACACCGCCCGUCGCUACUACCGAUCGAGUGAUUUAGUG